This 121-nucleotide ribosomal RNA is filed under the name Helianthus annuus (common sunflower). The record is from RNAcentral. Lineage: Eukaryota; Viridiplantae; Streptophyta; Magnoliopsida; Asterales; Asteraceae.
GGUUGCGAUCAUACCAGCACUAAUGCACCGGAUCCCAUCAGAACUCCGCAAUUAAGCGUGCUUGGGCGAGAGUAGUACUAGGAUGGGUGACCCCCUGGGAAGUCCUCGUGUUGCAACCGCC